Eriocheir sinensis (Chinese mitten crab) is the source of this 1667-nucleotide long non-coding RNA. RefSeq lists it as uncharacterized. Lineage: Eukaryota; Metazoa; Arthropoda; Malacostraca; Decapoda; Varunidae. The transcript is spliced from 6 exons. The record is from RefSeq and is a predicted model, not a curated record.
UGUGUGUCCAUAGAUAGAUAGAUAAUCUGUAUAUAUUUAUCUAUGCUAAAUGUAAGUCAAAUGCUCUUUUAUAUUAUUAUCUGUCAAUUGAUAUUUACUUCUCUCAAUAUUUUAAUUAUGUAUAUAUAUAUUUAAUGACGAGAUUUUCUAUUCUCUUUUUUUCUAUUACUCUCUCGGUCCCACACGUCCUCUGCGUGUAUCCAAACACACGAGAAAUUAAUCACAACAAGGAGAGGGUAUUCCCCGGCUGCCUGGGACUGAACCCGCGACCAGCGUGACGGGAGAGCCACUCCUUGCCGAGUCGGCCAAAGAGGUAACCGCCGGGCAGGUGUCUCGGAGCAAGGAGGAGCAGCUUUGGGAGUCUACAGCGGCACCCCACUCAACCCACCACCACCACCACCACCACCACCACCCAUAAUGUGACAGUUAUUAGCACGGAGGAAGUGCCGACUAGUGAGACUGGUUGUGUUUCCGACACUGUGCCACUGUUGACGAGUGCAGUGCCGUGAGUGCCAGUGUUAGUGUGGCACCUCAGACGGAGGGUGAUUCGGCACUCCAGGGUGAUGUCAGAGUGCCAAGUGACGAGCCCAAAACCGAGGAGGAGAAGGAGGAGGAGGAAAACAAAGCUAGUCAAGUGAUCAAACUGGAGGAAAAGGAAGAAGAGGAGGAGAAGAAAGAGGAGGAGGAGGAGAGAGAAACACAGGAACAAAUAGAUGGAGAGAGGAGAGAAGAAGGAAAAAGGAGGAGGAGGAAGAGGAGGAGGAGGAGGAAAAAUUCACCAACUUCACCACCAAACUUUCCACCAAUGAAAGAGGACCCCAAGAUACUGUCAUACAAAUAGUGCCACAGGGGACAGCGGGGGUGGCACAGGGGGCCUCGGGGGUGCCGCAGGGGAGGGGAGAGCUGCCCCCGCCCCUCGACUCGGAGCCUUGACGACACUAGGCCUAAGGGUUUAAAGCCCCGGAUACCCAGCGACCUUGAAAGUGUCCUAGAAAACGAAGCAAGGGAAGCCAAGCUGGAGGGGAAGACAAGAGUAUGGAACGCCUUGUGAUGGGACGGUUAAUGUUCUCUGUUACUACAAGUAUAUAACAAGUAUAGGAAGAGUGACCUGAAAGUUGCGUUACCUUCCAGCCACCGCCACCCAAGACCACGCCCGAGCCCAAGCCCCGACCGCCAGCCCGCCCCAAGGCUCCCUCCAUGGCCUCCUGCAGGGCUUGGGGUGGUCAGGCUCCCCACAGUGCUGCCCCUCGCAGUGCCAGGGCAGUGCCACACCUGUAAGCUGCGGCGCCAUGCCCGGUCUGAGGGCGCCGCUGGACUGUUGGUGUAGCAGUGCUGGGAGGUGCCAUAACACAGGGCACUCCUCACCUCAACAACAGUCUCUUCACCGACAAGUAAUUCUUCACCAACAAGCUUUUCAGCAGCUUGGAGAAAUAGACACUACCAAACGAAGAAGAGGAGGAGGAGGAGGAAGAAGAAGAAGACGAGGAACACAGGAGGAGCCCAUUGAGUGUGCGGUGUCCCGCAGGCAGACCGAGAUGUCCGUUCAAUUCUGCCGAAGGAAAGAAGUCGUGUUAGUCAACUCUGAUGACUUGUACUUUUCUCUGCAAGGGACUGUUCUGUAAGCCAGUCACAGAAGAUGUGAACUGUAUCUGUACUAUGAAGUCUUA